Molecule: ribosomal RNA, 281 nt
Filed under: Ruminococcus bromii
Lineage: Bacteria; Bacillati; Bacillota; Clostridia; Eubacteriales; Oscillospiraceae
Description: partial 16S ribosomal RNA
Rfam family: Bacterial small subunit ribosomal RNA
Source: RNAcentral
UAUGUUUGUGUGCCAGCCGCCGCGGUAAUACGUAGGGAGCAAGCGUUGUCCGGAUUUACUGGGUGUAAAGGGUGCGUAGGCGGCUUUGCAAGUCAGAUGUGAAAUCUAUGGGCUCAACCCAUAAACUGCAUUUGAAACUGUAGAGCUUGAGUGAAGUAGAGGCAGGCGGAAUUCCCCGUGUAGCGGUGAAAUGCGUAGAGAUGGGGAGGAACACCAGUGGCGAAGGCGGCCUGCUGGGCUUUAACUGACGCUGAGGCACGAAAGCGUGGGUAGCAAACAGG